Molecule: unclassified non-coding RNA, 357 nt
Filed under: Hevea brasiliensis (rubber tree)
Lineage: Eukaryota; Viridiplantae; Streptophyta; Magnoliopsida; Malpighiales; Euphorbiaceae
Source: RNAcentral
GCUGUUGAGCUCUCUCUCUCAUUCAUGGCUUCCUCUCUCUCCUUCCUCAUCCCCUCAACCCACAGAUCACUCUCCCCAUCCGUCGCCCCACUCCCCACCUCAUCCCGUCACUCUCUCCGGCCACCGCCGUCCCGCCGUCCCGCCGCCGCAAUCGCCGCCGUCCAGCUCGAACAGGCUGCACCCCCACCCCCAUCCCCCUCUCCUCCCCGUCUCCUCCCCUUCCGCAUCGGCCACGGCUUCGACCUCCACCGCCUCGAGCCCGGCCUCCCGCUCAUCAUCGGCGGCAUCGACAUCCCCCACGACCGCGGCUGCGAGGCCCACUCCGACGGUGAUGUGUUACUUCACUGUGUGGUGGAU